CCGCCAAAUAUAAAUGUGCGAGAUCGUCGUACUACAUGAGUAAGUUGAUCUUAUUAAUACAAUGAAGUUCGUCCUCUAUAUACUAUUGUUGGUGCUGGUAAUUUUCUCAACAGCAUCUGCAGUUUGCCCUCUUGAAUGUAUGUGUGUUGCUAGUGGUUGUGAUAGCAAUUGUAAUUUUGGAGCGUGCCCGUCUAAUGCGUCCCAGGUUCAGUGCUGUCAACCUUUCUAGUACUGUCACCUCUAAAUGUAUUAUGAAGAAGCUAACAUGCGAGUAGUAAAUCCGGAUUUAAGAAUACAAAUCAAUUGAAUCUAUGCCAUUUUCGUCUUCAAAAUUAUCUUAAAAUACAAUAAUUAUUAUUAAAUCUAAACGCACUUCUUGUAAAUGUAAUUAUCAAUAGGUAUGUACCUACUUUUAGCACAGAUUUAAAUCUGUGCUUUUAGUUAGGAAACUAUUUGUGUAAAUAAUAAAACCGGAAAUCGAA
Photinus pyralis (common eastern firefly) is the source of this 482-nucleotide long non-coding RNA. RefSeq lists it as uncharacterized. NCBI's taxonomy places the organism in Eukaryota, Metazoa, Arthropoda, Insecta, Coleoptera, Lampyridae. The record is from RefSeq and is a predicted model, not a curated record. The transcript has 2 exons.